GGCUGUGGCUCAGUGGUAGAGCGCUUGCCUAGCGUAUAGAGGCACCGGGUUCAAUUCUCAGCACCA
Molecule: transfer RNA, 66 nt
Filed under: Marmota monax (woodchuck)
Lineage: Eukaryota; Metazoa; Chordata; Mammalia; Rodentia; Sciuridae
Description: tRNA.Ala
Source: RNAcentral